AUGAAGACUGGAGCCACACAAUUGAAAAAGGAAAAUGCUCUUCUCACCUGUCCUGGUUGUUUGAGGGCUGGAGGUCUCCCUCUGGGCUCCUGGCAGGCCUCUGUCACUGGAACAUGUGAAAACAGGCGACUCGAGGGGCCGCGCCUCCUGACGCGACUGAGGCCAAGUUGCUCACGCCGCUGGGGACGACAAAGGGGAAGAUUCAGGAAGUUUCGAUUUCUCAAAAGUGAACGCAAUGCGGCCCACGGGCGACGUCCAAAAUCGAUCGCGCGACUUACCGCGUCCCGGCUGACACUUCGCCGUUUGGUCCGGGCACGGGCGGAACAAGGAAGUGACAUGUGGGGAUCGUUCAGAGGAAACGAGAAGUGAAUGGACCUCGCGUGUAAAAACGGGUCUCGGGUCUAUGGAAACGCAGCCUUCAAACUGUGGCACAGCGCGAUGUGUAUGUAUACACAUAUAUAUAUAGUAUAUAUAUAUGUCCUGUUGUAGGGAGACGUGGAGGGGUCGGGAGUGGACCGCGGCGCACUUGGCGGCCCCCUGUGCGUCAGUGCGUCGAGGGGCGGGGCGUGACAGCACCGCGACCGUGUAGUCGGACCGCUUCCUCGUCUCGAGUGCUGUGCGGGACAUACGUGCUGAUGCGAGGGGAAGGUCGCUCAUUCGACAAGACGCACGACGCACGCACUUUCGGAGAGAGGACUUUUCUUCUCCAAUGUCCCAAAUGGUUUAGUUCGACUGUGUACACUGAACACACGUACCAUGGAGUAUUUAAAUAUAAAAUUAAAAAAACACAUUUUCUAUUUUAAAAUAUUGUCCAUAUGUAUGUCCUCGGUUAGUUCCUGUAUGUAUGUUCAAAUUUAUGUUUCAAUUUAAAAAAAAAAAAAGAAGUCUAAAGGAUAAAGGGGCAUAGUUUAUCAAUCAAUAUUUAUUUUCUUUUACAGCUUUCUGGCUGAAAAGUAAAUGCCAUCACACACACACACACACACACAGACACUUAUCUUGUGUCACUAAUCUUGCUCUUCCGACACCCAACUGCGAGGAGGUACAGUACGGCUGCCGGCCCUGCUGGUUGCAGGGAUGUUCCUCCAAACUCCAGCCUGACUACAGUUGAAGUGAAGAAUAAUGUGCAGUUUAAGUACAUUUGCGAUUAUUCAAACAUGUCCUUACCGGCCAUGAGGACUAUACUUUAAAUCCACUCACGUUUUAACAACCCCCAUUAACACGUGGCUGAGAAUGUGAUGUGUCAAGUUAUAAUGACCUUAGUGAGAUAAUAACCUUAUGGAAGACUACAAGUCCCUCAACGACAUCACAUGCACCAGGUGGUGGCAGGAGAUGUAUCAGCGACAACGGGGAGGCCCUUUCUUGGUCUUAGGCUGAGGACAAAGAAUCACAACAAUUGUCUGAAAACUCUUCAAAUCGAAGGCUUUUUAGAUCUCAAUGAGAACAGGGACGAACUUAUGAGACACAAAGAAUCAUCCAUCUAUUGUUAAUAUCUAUCCCAAAAACAGUAUCAACUUUUAGGAAUAAAACACAUUUAGUACACAUUUAAAACAAAACAAACAGGACUGAAAUGUUGAAAUUAUAGAAUCACAUGAAAGGAAUAUACGAGUAGAGAAAGUUGUGGCAUUAAAAUAUGAAUUGGAUAGAAAGGGGCCAGAGAAAAUGAUAUUGAGACCUGAGUAUAUAGAGUUUCCUGACAUGGUGCUUUUGAACUUUUUAUAUAUUCAUAUUUUAAGUGGAGAAAAUACUCUUUUUGGUCUGCAUUCCAUAAGUGGAUUGAAAUGAAAAUUAUAUAUGUAUUUAGUUCUGUUGUGAUGUCAUCUCUCUCUUGACAUGUUUUCUGUAGCUUGCAAUAGGAAAGGCUCUGUGUAAUGAUAUCACCUUUGAAUGUGGAGAUAAUAUAUCUUAAAUAAAAGAUGCCCACUGACAAGCUAAACAUUAGCUGUGCGUGUGCGCGCAUGUGUGUGUGUGUGUUAUGUACAGGUUUUUACUGAUCAAUGACCAAUCGAUUUGCAACAGAGUAAAAGCAGCCACUGCAGGACACAAAA
This 2045-nucleotide long non-coding RNA is filed under the name Scophthalmus maximus (turbot). RNAcentral's name for it is "lncRNA (ENSSMAG00000033499.1)". The record is from RNAcentral. Lineage: Eukaryota; Metazoa; Chordata; Actinopteri; Pleuronectiformes; Scophthalmidae.